GUCGUGACUGCGUGCCUUUUGAAGAAUGAGCCUGCGAGUUUGCGGUAUGUUGCGAGGUUAACCCGUGUGGGGAAGCCGUAGCGAAAGCGAGUCCGAAGAGGGCGAUAUAGUAGCGUGCCCAAGACCCGAAGCGGAGUGAUCUAGCCAUGGGCAGGUUGAAGCGGAGGUAAGACUUCGUGGAGGACCGAACCCACCAGGGUUGAAAACCUGGGGGAUGACCUGUGGUUAGGGGUGAAAGGCCAAUCAAACUCCGUGAUAGCUGGUUCUCCCCGAAAUGCAUUUAGGUGCAGCGUCGUGUGUUUCUUGCCGGAGGUAGAGCACUGGAUAGGCGAUGGGCCCUACCGGGUUACUGACCUUAGCCAAACUCCGAAUGCCGGUAAGUGAGAGCGCGGCAGUGAGACUGUGGGGGAUAAGCUCCAUGGUCGAGAGGGAAACAGCCCAGAGCAUCGACUAAGGCCCCUAAGCGUGUGCUAAGUGGGAAAGGAUGUGGAGUCGCAGAGACAACCAGGAGGUUGGCUUAGAAGCAGCCAUCCUUGAAAGAGUGCGUAAUAGCUCACUGGUCAAGUGAUUCCGCGCCGACAAUGUAGCGGGGCUCAAGCACACCGCCGAAGUCAUGUCA
Molecule: ribosomal RNA, 619 nt
Filed under: Streptomyces rimosus
Lineage: Bacteria; Bacillati; Actinomycetota; Actinomycetes; Kitasatosporales; Streptomycetaceae
Description: bacterial LSU rRNA
Rfam family: Bacterial large subunit ribosomal RNA
Source: RNAcentral